UAUUUUAAAAAAAUUAGAUUAUAAUUGAAAAAGGAGUGUCAGAUUGGGAGGAAGGUACUACAAAGUUCAUAUAGUACCCUUAUGAGAAUGUGAUAUGUGCAUAAAAAGAAUACAUAGAAACACAAAGACAUUGAAAUUGGAAAGGAUUAAAUGGUCUGAGUCUUGUUUUUCCAAAUGAUGGCACACACAACACCACAACAAGAUAGUGACCCUCUCACGAUCCAGAUCCAAAUCCAAAAAGGUACUCAAAUGUAGCAGAAGAUUAACCAGAAGAAGAAGAAGAAGAAGGAAGAAAGAAAAAUGGGGAGCAGAGUCGGUAGUGAAGUCACUUUCAAAAAGACAGAGACCCACCGAAAACACCAUCCCCAAGAAGAAAAUACUGCUGCUGUUAUUAGUCUCUUUCAUGCAUUCUUCUCUCUGACUCUCUCUCUCUCUCUCUAUAUAUAUAUAUAUAUAUAUAUUAGAAAAAGAAAAAUCUGAAUCGUUCC
This 488-nucleotide long non-coding RNA is filed under the name Ricinus communis (castor bean). Its description in RNAcentral is "long non-coding RNA (RCOM_LNC002918)". The record is from RNAcentral. Lineage: Eukaryota; Viridiplantae; Streptophyta; Magnoliopsida; Malpighiales; Euphorbiaceae.